AUGUCCACCCCCGCUUGCAAAGACGGACCUAUUCUUGACCAUCCGAACGGGCGACGUGCCAAGUCCAAACGUGGUCACACAGAUGAUUUCAUUGAGCCGUUUAGCCCCGAGGAACGCGUAGCAAUCUGCACAUGUGCUUUCGGCAUUACAUUUGUAAUUUGCCUUUGCUUGUUGAUUGUGUUGUGUGUUGGAGCCGCAGGUGGCACAGCCAAUGUGUCCCAACGACCAGGCGACCUCUUUGUCCGACUUGUAGGCACAAGAGGUCUUCUUGAUCCCCGCGGCUCUCCGCCGACUUCGCCAGCUUUCCGCCUUGCCUUGGACUUCGAUCGGACACCACCAACCUACCGGAGCUGCAGCGGAGGCGGCAACUCGUGGCUGCGCAUCUCCUACCAUGACAUGAUCCUGGCGUGGGCUCAAGUGCCACAUUUCUGCGUCUACGGCAACCGGGGCGUUGGCAGUGUGGGUACAUUGGAGGUGGAGGCCAAGGCAGACGCCUCUGUGCUGCGAGAGGAGGUGCGCAACUUGCUUUGGAGUGAGAUUCAGGUUGUGGGGAAGGUCGAGUUCGACGUGGAUGGAGAGGUGGCGGGCCUAGGGUAUCUUCGCUGCAAGUUCUUCAUCAUGGAAGAUAAGGCUGCGGAUGUGCCCAAGAGCCUGUGCAUCCUCCGUCAGUAG
RNAcentral lists this ribosomal RNA (672 nucleotides) under Triticum aestivum (bread wheat). RNAcentral's name for it is "partial small subunit ribosomal RNA". The record is from RNAcentral. Lineage: Eukaryota; Viridiplantae; Streptophyta; Magnoliopsida; Poales; Poaceae.